Molecule: long non-coding RNA, 1223 nt
Filed under: Nicotiana tabacum (common tobacco)
Lineage: Eukaryota; Viridiplantae; Streptophyta; Magnoliopsida; Solanales; Solanaceae
Description: long non-coding RNA (NTAB_LNC007063)
Source: RNAcentral
UCAGACAAGCUGGCCACAUAAACUUCAUCAUUGUCAAGUCUUUAAAGAAUUAACAAUAUUCAAUCAAAUUCAUACUAUUCCUUUAAAUCUCGAACAUAACAAGGAAGAACCAAGCUUUGCUAUGGGAUACAAACUGAACUAGUUUAAAAUAUGACCCGACUAAAGCUUAGCAAGGAGUUGUACAGUUCUAAAUGCCUAGUCAAAUUGGUUGGACCAACAAUAAUCAGUAAAUAUCAAAAAACAAUCAGAUUUCUGGAAUGAAUGUUCUGUCUCAUUUUGUCAAUGAGAACUAAGUUGUUUGUAACUAACAUGGAUAAAAUUUUGUUAAUAAUGUAAAGUUUUAGUUUGUUUUAUGCAACAGAAUGACCAAAUUCAUGUACAAAACAAUGUAGUUUGUUUUAUGUGAGUACUAAAACAUGUUUCCGCCAAAGAGUUUUUGGAUCCUAAACCUGAGAAAUGCAUAGCUAAGUAAAAUUAUAAGUAGUGUAGCUAAUUCAUAUUGAAUGGCUCAAGAACAAGUUAACAGAAGCUGACGAAUGAGUAAUUGAAGUUGCGACUCGGAACAUGAACAAUCCCUCAUACACUGAACAGAACAAUCCCUUAUACACUGAACAUAACUUGUUAAAAUUCCACCUCUGUCUCUAAUUACAACAACAACAACAAAUUAAAAUACUAAAAUACUUGAUUACAACAAAGCAAUUUCUUUCCCCAAAGAAAAACAAAAAGAUUAGGGAUUUUAACAUACCUGAGUUGUUAAAAUUUCACUUUUAUAUUUUCUUGCCCUUUGCCGACUUCCACAGUUGUGUACAAGUUCUUGAAUAUAUGAAGUUGAAAAAGCUUUGAGUCAAUUUGUACAAACAAUGGCCUGAAUCGAAAGACCCUAGUGGUCUUCUUCUUCCCACAACACGAUUCACAAAUUCAAAUCAAAACUCAUCAAACCAGCUUCUAAUCUUAAGAUUUAGCUUCAAAAUGAAGUUUCCAGCAAGUAUCAUAAACACCCAAUCGAAUUCACAUUCUGAUUUGAGGGAUUUCGAUUUAGGUGAGAUUUUUGAGGGAUUUCAAUUUGGUAUUUCUAUUAUCUGGAUAGAUUUCUAGAGGACCGCUUUUGGGUUUCGCUUUGGGAUUUCUAGCUAUAGAGGACCGAUUUUGGGCGCUUCUUUGUUUUCACAUCGACUCGAUGUGUUCGAGAUGAGAGUUUCACUAUUUUGUCUCUAACCGAUUUU